GAUGAACGCUGGCGGCGUGCUUAACACAUGCAAGUCGAACGAAGCACUUUACUACGAUUUCUUCGGAAUGACGGUUUUGUGACUGAGUGGCGGACGGGUGAGUAACGCGUGGAUAACCUGCCUCAUACAGGGGGAUAACAGCCGGAAACGGCUGCUAAUACCGCAUAUGGUCUUCGGAUUAAAGCUUCGGCGGUCUGGGAACGGCCUGCGCAUGAUUAGCUUGUUGGUGAGGUAAUGGCUCACCAAGGCGACGAUCAUUAGCUGGUCUGAGAGGAUGAUCAGCCUGACUGGGACUGAGAACGGCCCAGACUCCUACGGGAGGCAGCAGUAGGAAUCUUCCACAAUGGGCGAAAGCCUGAUGGAGCAACGCCGCGUGCAGGAUGAAAGCCUUCGGUCGUAAACUGCUUUAUAUGCGACGAAUAUGACGGUAGCAUAUGAAUAAGGAUCGGCUAACUCCGUAGCCAGCAGCCGACGG
RNAcentral lists this ribosomal RNA (475 nucleotides) under uncultured bacterium. RNAcentral describes it as "bacterial SSU rRNA". It matches the Rfam family "Bacterial small subunit ribosomal RNA", at positions 28 to 520 of the family's 1533-position model. The record is from RNAcentral.